This is a long non-coding RNA of Oreochromis aureus, 294 nucleotides long. RefSeq lists it as uncharacterized. NCBI's taxonomy places the organism in Eukaryota, Metazoa, Chordata, Actinopteri, Cichliformes, Cichlidae. The record is from RefSeq and is a predicted model, not a curated record. The transcript has 2 exons.
UAUAGGAGCACCUGAAGAUGAACAUGUGGCUCACAGUUUUAUUCAGAAAAGGGACAGAAAGCUCUAGAAAGCUAUUCAGAGCUGCUGACGGAGGACGUCGCCAGUCAGGCAGUUUGUCACCGUCACUGAGCUUCGCUGCACAGAGGCCACAAAUGGAUGACGAUGACGGCCUGGAGUCAGGAAGGAGCAGUGUGGGAAGGAACUGGAAAGCCGGCUUCCCGGUGGAAUAUAUAUCGGGCCAAAGCAGCAGGAAACGCUGUAUUUAAAAAUAAAGGUGCUCAGAUUGACACUUGA